AAAUUUGUGUGUUAGAAAAUUGAAAAACAAAUUGUAUAGGCUUUUUUUUAAGUCAUGACCGGACAAGGAAAAUGAUUCUAAUAAAGAAGUUGUCUGAUAAAGCAUACUGUAUGUGUAUACAUUGUGUUUUUCUGUGAUUUCAUAUAAUUUCAUUCCUUUUAAGAUUCCAAAAUCAAAGACUACUUUUAUGUUUUAUUGUUUUUUUAUUCAAAUAUUUUUGUUAAUUUUUUAUAUUUUUGUCAAUUUAUUGUAUAUUAUGUAAGCAAGUUGUAUUUAUUUAUUUGAAAUGUACUUUUUCAAAAGUUCAGAUUAAAUCUCUGAAAAAAGGGCAAAAAAAAGAAAUUUUCAUAGCUGACAACUGAUAUCCUGUUCGAGGUCAACCCCCUUCAUGCACCAUUUAUCAUGUACAUCAAUGCAAACAUUUAUUUGCUGAAUUAACAUCAAAGAAAUUUAAGUUACUUUAUGGCAUCAUAAUACAUAAAAAGCUUUAUUUAAGAUUAAAUUAAAAUUUUAAUAGACAAAACUUAAUAUAACUCAUAAAACUCUUUUUCUGACAUGGUAAAAAAUUUUGAAUUUUUAUAGAAGACAAUGGAAAGAGAUGUUUCGUAUUAUUCAAUUACUCAUUUAAUUUCUUUUUUUAUACCAGCAUGCAUCAUUGAACAGGUUGACAGCUAUGAUAUUGAAAAAAUAAUUAAAUAAAAAACGUUUUUUUAGUGUUUUAUCUCAUUAUAAUUUUUGUGAAAGUACAGAUAGUAAAAAUCC
Molecule: long non-coding RNA, 762 nt
Filed under: Mytilus galloprovincialis (Mediterranean mussel)
Lineage: Eukaryota; Metazoa; Mollusca; Bivalvia; Mytilida; Mytilidae
Source: RNAcentral